CCGUAGCUCAGUUGGUAGAGCAACUGACUUUUAAUCAGUAGGUCACAGGUUCGAUCCCUGUCGGG
This 65-nucleotide transfer RNA is filed under the name marine eukaryotic metagenome. It matches the Rfam family "tRNA", at positions 5 to 66 of the family's 71-position model. Rfam says of the family: Transfer RNA (tRNA) molecules are approximately 80 nucleotides in length. Their secondary structure includes four short double-helical elements and three loops (D, anti-codon, and T loops). The record is from RNAcentral.